GCCCCGCGCCGAGCGCCUCGUCUCGGGGAGUUGAUGGCAGCACCACAGUGCGGCCGCCCGGCCGAGCGCACCGCGCAGCCACCCGCGGCUGCCUGCCGAGCAGUCGACAUGUGGGGGGACUGGGGUGGGAGCGGCCGGAGCAGCGCCAGGGACCCGGGCGCGCAGCAGCCUCCGCUCGCUCGCCUGUCCUGACCUGGCUUGCUCGCCCCACCGAAGAAUGUCAGCCAAGUCCAAGGGGAACCCCUCCUCGUCCUCCGCAGCCGAGGGACCGCCGGCAGCCUCCAAAACCAAGGUGAAGGAGCAGAUCAAGAUCAUAGUGGAGGAUCUGGAAUUAGUCCUGGGCGACCUGAAGGACGUGGCCAAAGAACUUAAGGAGGUGGUUGACCAGAUUGACACCCUGACCUCUGACCUACAGCUGGAGGAUGAGAUGACCGACAGCUCCAAAACAGACACUCUGAACAGCAGCUCCAGUGGGACAACAGCCUCCAGCAUAGAGAAGAUCAAAGAACAGGCCAACGCCCCGCUCAUCAAACCUCCAGCACACCCGUCUGCUAUCCUGACUGUCCUGAGAAAGCCAAACCCUCCACCGCCUCCUCCAAGGUUGACACCCGUCAGAUGUGAAGAGCCUCAGAGAGUGGUGCCAACUGCCAACCCUGUAAAGACCAAUGGCACCCUUCUACGGAAUGGAGGAUUACUGGGUAGACCCAACAAAAUUCCAAAUGGAGACAUCUGCUGCAUACCCAACAGUAACUUGGACAAGGCUCCGUUGCAGUCUCUGAUGCACAGACCUGAAAAGGACAGGAGUCCUCAGGCAGGGCCUCGAGAACGAGUUCGGUUCAAUGAAAAAGUACAAUACCAUGGCUAUUGUCCUGACUGUGAGACCCGGUAUAACAUAAAGAAUAGGGAGGUUCAUUUACACAGUGAACCAGUCCAUCCACCUGGAAAGAUUCCUCACCAAGGACCUCUGCUCCCUCCUCCACCUCAUCUCCCCACUUUCCCUUUAGAAAAUGGGGGACUGGGAAUAAGCCACAGUAACAGUUUCCCCCCUCCCACACCUGCAACCGUGCCUCCUCCCGCUGCACCAAAACCACAGAAGACCAUCCUGAGAAAAUCCACCACUACCACAGUGUGAUAUCUGCCAUUUAAGAAAACGUUCUGUUUGUUUUUUAAUUUUCUAUAUGAUAAACGUAAAAUAAUAAGUAAUGAGCACUUUCUACUCAAGCAAUAAAAAGCCCAAAUAUAUUAAUCUGCAUUCAACAAAGUGGCAUAAAAAUCACGUGCUUAAUCAGGUUGGAAGAAAUACCUUUAUUUAGAAGCAUGUGGAUUCAUUUUUCUUACUUCAAAUUGUUCCUUGACCUCGUGAGGGCAGAUCUAAUUUUAAUGGAACCAGGAGCCUGACCCUGUCAAAGAAGCUAACCCUUCCCUUGGAGCACAAAUGACCAAUGAAAUGAUCCCCCCAAAUCACCUGCCUCUAGCCUGACAUCCAUGAGCAGAGCCACGGAGGCAGAAAAUGCCACAGCCUUAAAUAUCUUCACUAACAAAUUACCAAGAGGAUAUAACAAACAGAUAAGAAAGGACUACGUUUUUCAAAGUCAGCACAUAAAGAAAAUCAAUCUGAUUUCACUAGGGAAAAUCAGUAUUCCCUGAUAUUACCUUGUGUAGAAAACAAAACAAAACAAAAACACCUUAUCAGUGAAGAUACUAAAUUAUACAUUGAUUUAUCAUUUUAAAACGUGGAAAUUUAGGGACAAGAGGUAUCUGAAGUCAGAAUUACUCCUCAUUUCAAAACAUUUAGGCAAAACCAAAAACUGAACUGGCCAGAACAUUGCAUGACCAGGAUUAGGGAGAAUGUUGCUGUUUGCAGAGAGGUAGACGCCUGAGGCAGGUGCACCCUCAAAGCCAUAAUGGACAGGAGCGUUGGCGCCAAUUGCUUGAAAGUUACAGUGUUCCAUUCUUCGCCUUGUAUUUGUUGAGCAAGGAAGUCGGUUUGCACCGACUGCUUCUCCGUGCACUUUUGAUAUUUGCACAGUCAUUUCCAUUCAGGGUAACGAAGUGUCUUGUUAUUUGCACAGAUGAUCCCACCAGUUGUGAGACCACAAGAAGUAGUUUCUUGCAGACAUCCAAAAAAGGAAUAAUUUAUAAUUCUCAAGAUAAUGAUUUCUCUUUUCUCUGAUUUAAAAACAAAAACAAACAAAAAUACCAGUUUUUCAAUGAAGUGGGUUUGCUUCUGAACCAAACUGUACAAAGAAAACAUCAUGGUGGUCAAAAGAAUGCGAGUGAUAUCAAAAGGGUUUUUAUAUCAUUAC
Molecule: RNA transcript, 2306 nt
Organism: Mus pahari (shrew mouse)
Lineage: Eukaryota; Metazoa; Chordata; Mammalia; Rodentia; Muridae
Gene: Prr16
Gene name: proline rich 16
Exons: 3
Source: RefSeq, a predicted model, not a curated record